RNAcentral lists this non-coding RNA (367 nucleotides) under Candidatus Yanofskybacteria bacterium GW2011_GWA1_44_21. Lineage: Bacteria; Candidatus Yanofskyibacteriota. The record is from RNAcentral.
GACCGUACUUCAUGGAUACGACCCGACCAUGUAAGGGGACCGUAUCGAGGCAAAUCUGUCCGACAUAACAGAGGGGUUCUCGAGUGUACAGAUAGAUUAUAGCAGUUAUCAUGAUUGCCUCCCCUGAGAUACCAACUUAAAAAGCAUAACGAUUUAUUUUAUAAAUGUCAAGAUUAAACUUGACUCCAAAAAUUUGAGCGUGGUUGACCCCGUAACGACUUGGCCCAUCAUUUAUUGAUGGCCGGAUGGAAAUCUUUUCAGCUUCCAUAAUAUGCCGAUCCCCGAUUCGCCUUUUGCUGGGCUUGCUAUGAGCGAGCAUAGCGAGUCGAAGGGGAAAGAUAUAGUCUGCACUUCUAGUGAUAGGAGA